AACGAACGCUGGCGGCGUGCUUAACACAUGCAAGUCGAACGCGAACGGUUUCUUCGGAGACCUAGUAGAGUGGCGCACGGGUGAGUAACGCGUAAAUAAUCUACCCUGAUGUCUGGGAUAACCAGCCGAAAGGCUGCCUAAUACCGGCUAUAUGCUUCCCUGUUGGGGGAAUCAGGAAAGGUGGCCUCUAUUUAUAAGCUAUCGCAUGAGGAUGAGUUUGCGUACCAUUAGCUAGUUGGUGGGGUAAUGGCCUACCAAGGCGACGAUGGUUAGCGGGUCUGAGAGGAUGAUCCGUCACACUGGCACUGAAACACGGGCCAGACUCCUACGGGAGGCAGCAGUGAGGAAUAUUGCGCAAUGGGGGAAACCCUGACGCAGCGACGCCGCGUGAGUGAGGAAGGCCUUCGGGUCGUAAAGCUCUGUCAGUAG
Molecule: ribosomal RNA, 429 nt
Filed under: uncultured bacterium
Lineage: Bacteria
Description: bacterial SSU rRNA
Rfam family: Bacterial small subunit ribosomal RNA
Source: RNAcentral